Molecule: ribosomal RNA, 484 nt
Filed under: uncultured bacterium
Lineage: Bacteria
Description: partial 16S ribosomal RNA
Rfam family: Bacterial small subunit ribosomal RNA
Source: RNAcentral
AUUGAACGCAGGCGGCAGGCCUAACACAUGCAAGUCGAGCGGAUGAAGGGAGCUUGCUCCUGGAUUCAGCGGCGGACGGGUGAGUAAUGCCUAGGAAUCUGCCUGGCAGUGGGGGAUAACGUCCGGAAACGGGCGCUAAUACCGCAUACGUCCUGAGGGAGAAAGUGGGGGAUCUUCGGACCUCACGCUAUCAGAUGAGCCUAGGUCGGAUUAGCUAGUUGGUGGGGUAAAGGCCUACCAAGGCGACGAUCCGUAACUGGUCUGAGAGGAUGAUCAGUCACACUGGAACUGAGACACGGUCCAGACUCCUACGGGAGGCAGCAGUGGGGAAUAUUGGACAAUGGGCGAAAGCCUGAUCCAGCCAUGCCGCGUGUGUGAAGAAGGUCUUCGGAUUGUAAAGCACUUUAAGUUGGGAGGAAGGGCAGUAAGUUAAUACCUUGCUGUUUUGACGUUACCAACAGAAUAAGCACCGGCUAACUUCGUG